CCUACGGGGGGCUGCAGUGGGGAAUAUUGGACAAUGGGCGAAAGCCUGAUCCAGCAAUGCCGCGUGAGUGAAGAAGGCCUUAGGGUUGUAAAGCUCUUUCGCCUGCGACGAUGAUGACGGUAGCAGGAGAAGAAGCCCCGGCUAAUUCCGUGCCAGCAGCCGCGGUAAUACGGAAGGGGCUAGCGUUGUUCGGAAUUACUGGGCGUAAAGCGCGCGUAGGCGGCUUGGCAAGUGAGGCGUGAAAGUCCUGGGCUCAACCUGGGGACGGCGCUUCA
RNAcentral lists this ribosomal RNA (275 nucleotides) under uncultured Defluviicoccus sp. Its description in RNAcentral is "partial 16S ribosomal RNA". It matches the Rfam family "Bacterial small subunit ribosomal RNA", at positions 338 to 630 of the family's 1533-position model. Lineage: Bacteria; Pseudomonadati; Pseudomonadota; Alphaproteobacteria; Rhodospirillales; Rhodospirillaceae. The record is from RNAcentral.